Tritrichomonas musculus is the source of this 72-nucleotide non-coding RNA. Lineage: Eukaryota; Parabasalia; Tritrichomonadida; Tritrichomonadidae. The record is from the annotation of a GenBank genome assembly.
GGGUUGAUGGUGUAAAGGUUAGCACAUUUGCCUGUGGUGCAAAAUGUCCGUGUUCGAUUCACGGUCUACCCA